Molecule: ribosomal RNA, 440 nt
Filed under: uncultured bacterium
Lineage: Bacteria
Description: partial 16S ribosomal RNA
Rfam family: Bacterial small subunit ribosomal RNA
Source: RNAcentral
CCUACGGGUGGCAGCAGUGGGGAAUAUUGCACAAUGGGGGGAACCCUGAUCCAGCAACGCCGCGUGGGUGAAGAAGUACUCCGGUAUGUAAAGCCCUGUCAGCCGGGAAGAAAAUGACGGUACCUGACCAAGAAUCCCCGGCUAACUACGUGCCAGCAGCCGCGGUAAUACGUAGGGGGCAAGCGUUAUCCGGAUUUACUGGGUGUAAAGGGAGCGUAGACGGCAAGGCAAGUCUGGAGUGAAAGCCCGGGGCCCAACCACGGGACUGAUUUGGAAACUGUGUGGCUGGAGUGCAGGAGGGGUAAGCGGAAUUCCUAGUGUAGCGGUGAAAUGCGUAGAUAUUAGGAGGAACACCGGUGGCGAAGGCGGCUUACUGGACUGUAACUGACGUUGAGGCUCGAAGGCGUGGGGAGCGAACAGGAUUAGAUACCCCUGUAGUC